GACGGAGGGGGCAAGCGUUGUCCGGAAUCACUGGGCGUAAAGCGCACGUAGGCGGGACGGUGCGUCGGUGCUGAAAGCGCCAGGCUUAACCUGGCGAGGCGUGCCGAUACGACCGACCUCGAGGCAGACAGAGGGUGGCGGAAUUCCGGGUGUAGUGGUGAAAUGCGUAGAGAUCCGGAGGAACGCCGGUGGCGCAAGCGGCCACCUGGGUCUGACCUGACGCUGAGGUGCGAAAGCGUGGGGAGCAAACAGG
RNAcentral lists this ribosomal RNA (253 nucleotides) under uncultured bacterium. Its description in RNAcentral is "partial 16S ribosomal RNA". It matches the Rfam family "Bacterial small subunit ribosomal RNA", at positions 524 to 776 of the family's 1533-position model. The record is from RNAcentral.